RNAcentral lists this ribosomal RNA (253 nucleotides) under uncultured bacterium. RNAcentral's name for it is "partial 16S ribosomal RNA". It matches the Rfam family "Bacterial small subunit ribosomal RNA", at positions 524 to 776 of the family's 1533-position model. The record is from RNAcentral.
UACGUAGGGUCCGAGCGUUGUCCGGAAUUACUGGGCGUAAAGAGCUCGUAGGUGGUUUGUCGCGUUGUUCGUGAAAACUCACAGCUCAACUGUGGGCGUGCGGGCGAUACGGGCAGACUUGAGUACUGCAGGGGAGACUGGAAUUCCUGUUGUAGCGGUGGAAUGCGCAGAUAUCAGGAGGAACACCGGUGGCGAAGGCGGGUCUCUGGGCAGUAACUGACGCUGAGGAGCGAAAGCGUGGGGAGCGAACAGG